This 614-nucleotide ribosomal RNA is filed under the name Pantoea dispersa. RNAcentral's name for it is "bacterial SSU rRNA". It matches the Rfam family "Bacterial small subunit ribosomal RNA", at positions 67 to 670 of the family's 1533-position model. The record is from RNAcentral. Lineage: Bacteria; Pseudomonadati; Pseudomonadota; Gammaproteobacteria; Enterobacterales; Erwiniaceae.
CGGCAGCACAGAAGAGCUUGCUCUUUGGGUGGCGAGUGGCGGACGGGUGAGUAAUGUCUGGGAAACUGCCCGAUGGAGGGGGAUAACUACUGGAAACGGUAGCUAAUACCGCAUAACGUCGCAAGACCAAAGUGGGGGACCUUCGGGCCUCACACCAUCGGAUGUGCCCAGAUGGGAUUAGCUAGUAGGUGGGGUAAUGGCUCACCUAGGCGACGAUCCCUAGCUGGUCUGAGAGGAUGACCAGCCACACUGGAACUGAGACACGGUCCAGACUCCUACGGGAGGCAGCAGUGGGGAAUAUUGCACAAUGGGCGCAAGCCUGAUGCAGCCAUGCCGCGUGUAUGANGAAGGCCUUCGGGUUGUAAAGUACUUUCAGCGGGGAGGAAGGCGGUGAGGUUAAUAACCUUGCCGAUUGACGUUACCCGCAGAAGAAGCACCGGCUAACUCCGUGCCAGCAGCCGCGGUAAUACGGAGGGUGCAAGCGUUAAUCGGAAUUACUGGGCGUANAGCGCACGCAGGCGGUCUGUUAAGUCAGAUGUGAAAUCCCCGGGCUUANCCUGGGAACUGCAUUUGAAACUGGCAGGCUUGAGUCUCGUAGAGGGGGGUAGAAUUCC